AUGACUAGGGAUAACCUUAGGAAGAGACACAUCAUCAAACCCCUCGAUUGUGUUUAAUGCUUGGAACAAGAGUCUUGUUCUCACCUAUUUUUUGAAUGUAUAGUUGCUAAACAUCUCUGGGCCCACAUUGAGGAAUAUUUCUCUAGUCAGAUUAUCUCAUCCUUCGAAUCUGUCGCCAGAUUCUGGAUUGCUACCAAAAAGUGCUUAGUUUUAAACACUAUUAGCUCAACUGUCCUUUGGUGCCUCUGGAAAUAUAGAAAUGCUAUGAUUUUCAGUAACACCUCCUGGAUUUCCAUUCCGCAGGUCUUGAGGUUGAUCAGGAACAUGGUGAGGAACUGGGCGAUUCUCUCCUCCGGAUCGGACAAGGACAAGUUGAUGAGCUUCGUGGAACCCUAA
Molecule: ribosomal RNA, 396 nt
Filed under: Triticum aestivum (bread wheat)
Lineage: Eukaryota; Viridiplantae; Streptophyta; Magnoliopsida; Poales; Poaceae
Description: partial small subunit ribosomal RNA
Source: RNAcentral